GGUUAAGCGACUAAGCGUACACGGUGGAUGCCCUGGCAGUCAGAGGCGAUGAAGGACGUGCUAAUCUGCGAUAAGCGUCGGUAAGGUGAUAUGAACCGUUAUAACCGGCGAUUUCCGAAUGGGGAAACCCAGUGUGAUUCGUCACACUAUCAUUAACUGAAUCCAUAGGUUAAUGAGGCGAACCGGGGGAACUGAAACAUCUAAGUACCCCGAGGAAAAGAAAUCAACCGAGAUUCCCCCAGUAGCGGCGAGCGAACGGGGAGCAGCCCAGAGCCUGAAUCAGUGUGUGUGUUAGUGGAAGCGUCUGGAAAGGCGUGCGAUACAGGGUGACAGCCCCGUACACAAAAAUGCACAUAUUGUGAGCUCGAUGAGUAGGGCGGGACACGUGGUAUCCUGUCUGAAUAUGGGGGGACCAUCCUCCAAGGCUAAAUACUCCUGACUGACCGAUAGUGAACCAGUACCGUGAGGGAAAGGCGAAAAGAACCCCGGCGAGGGGAGUGAAAAAGAACCUGAAACCGUGUACGUACAAGCAGUGGGAGCACGCUUAGGCGUGUGACUGCGUACCUUUUGUAUAAUGGGUCAGCGACUUAUAUUCUGUAGCAAGGUUAACCGAAUAGGGGAGCCGAAGGGAAACCGAGUCUUAACUGGGCGUUAAGUUGCAGGGUAUAGACCCGAAACCCGGUGAUCUAGCCAUGGGCAGGUUGAAGGUUGGGUAACACUAACUGGAGGACCGAACCGACUAAUGUUGAAAAAUUAGCGGAUGACUUGUGGCUGGGGGUGAAAGGCCAAUCAAACCGGGAGAUAGCUGGUUCUCCCCGAAAGCUAUUUAGGUAGCGCCUCGUGAAUUCAUCUCCGGGGGUAGAGCACUGUUUCGGCAAGGGGGUCAUCCCGACUUACCAACCCGAUGCAAACUGCGAAUACCGGAGAAUGUUAUCACGGGAGACACACGGCGGGUGCUAACGUCCGUCGUGAAGAGGGAAACAACCCAAACCGCCAGCUAAGGUCCCAAAGUCAUGGUUAAGUGGGAAACGAUGUGGGAAGGCCCAGACAGCCAGGAUGUUGGCUUAGAAGCAGCCAUCAUUUAAAGAAAGCGUAAUAGCUCACUGGUCGAGUCGGCCUGCGCGGAAGAUGUAACGGGGCUAAACCAUGCACCGAAGCUGCGGCAGCGACGCUUAUGCGUUGUUGGGUAGGGGAGCGUUCUGUAAGCCUGCGAAGGUGUGCUGUGAGGCAUGCUGGAGGUAUCAGAAGUGCGAAUGCUGACAUAAGUAACGAUAAAGCGGGUGAAAAGCCCGCUCGCCGGAAGACCAAGGGUUCCUGUCCAACGUUAAUCGGGGCAGGGUGAGUCGACCCCUAAGGCGAGGCCGAAAGGCGUAGUCGAUGGGAAACAGGUUAAUAUUCCUGUACUUGGUGUUACUGCGAAGGGGGGACGGAGAAGGCUAUGUUGGCCGGGCGACGGUUGUCCCGGUUUAAGCGUGUAGGCUGGUUUUCCAGGCAAAUCCGGAAAACUAAGGCUGAGGCGUGAUGACGAGGCACUACGGUGCUGAAGCAACAAAUGCCCUGCUUCCAGGAAAAGCCUCUAAGCAUCAGGUAACAUCAAAUCGUACCCCAAACCGACACAGGUGGUCAGGUAGAGAAUACCAAGGCGCUUGAGAGAACUCGGGUGAAGGAACUAGGCAAAAUGGUGCCGUAACUUCGGGAGAAGGCACGCUGAUAUGUAGGUGAAGUCCCUCGCGGAUGGAGCUGAAAUCAGUCGAAGAUACCAGCUGGCUGCAACUGUUUAUUAAAAACACAGCACUGUGCAAACACGAAAGUGGACGUAUACGGUGUGACGCCUGCCCGGUGCCGGAAGGUUAAUUGAUGGGGUUAGCGCAAGCGAAGCUCUUGAUCGAAGCCCCGGUAAACGGCGGCCGUAACUAUAACGGUCCUAAGGUAGCGAAAUUCCUUGUCGGGUAAGUUCCGACCUGCACGAAUGGCGUAAUGAUGGCCAGGCUGUCUCCACCCGAGACUCAGUGAAAUUGAACUCGCUGUGAAGAUGCAGUGUACCCGCGGCAAGACGGAAAGACCCCGUGAACCUUUACUAUAGCUUGACACUGAACAUUGAGCCUUGAUGUGUAGGAUAGGUGGGAGGCUUUGAAGUGUGGACGCCAGUCUGCAUGGAGCCGACCUUGAAAUACCACCCUUUAAUGUUUGAUGUUCUAACGUGGACCCGUAAUCCGGGUUGCGGACAGUGUCUGGUGGGUAGUUUGACUGGGGCGGUCUCCUCCUAAAGAGUAACGGAGGAGCACGAAGGUUGGCUAAUCCUGGUCGGACAUCAGGAGGUUAGUGCAAUGGCAUAAGCCAGCUUGACUGCGAGCGUGACGGCGCGAGCAGGUGCGAAAGCAGGUCAUAGUGAUCCGGUGGUUCUGAAUGGAAGGGCCAUCGCUCAACGGAUAAAAGGUACUCCGGGGAUAACAGGCUGAUACCGCCCAAGAGUUCAUAUCGACGGCGGUGUUUGGCACCUCGAUGUCGGCUCAUCACAUCCUGGGGCUGAAGUAGGUCCCAAGGGUAUGGCUGUUCGCCAUUUAAAGUGGUACGCGAGCUGGGUUUAGAACGUCGUGAGACAGUUCGGUCCCUAUCUGCCGUGGGCGCUGGAGAACUGAGGGGGGCUGCUCCUAGUACGAGAGGACCGGAGUGGACGCAUCACUGGUGUUCGGGUUGUCAUGCCAAUGGCACUGCCCGGUAGCUAAAUGCGGAAGAGAUAAGUGCUGAAAGCAUCUAAGCACGAAACUUGCCCCGAGAUGAGUUCUCCCUGACUCCUUGAGAGUCCUGAAGGAACGUUGAAGACGACGACGUUGAUAGGCCGGGUGUGUAAGCGCAGCGAUGCGUUGAGCUAACCGGUACUAAUGAACCGUGAGGCUUAACCUU
RNAcentral lists this ribosomal RNA (2904 nucleotides) under Escherichia coli. RNAcentral describes it as "23S ribosomal RNA". It matches the Rfam family "Bacterial large subunit ribosomal RNA". Lineage: Bacteria; Pseudomonadati; Pseudomonadota; Gammaproteobacteria; Enterobacterales; Enterobacteriaceae. The record is from RNAcentral.